Zophobas morio is the source of this 1275-nucleotide long non-coding RNA. RefSeq lists it as uncharacterized. Lineage: Eukaryota; Metazoa; Arthropoda; Insecta; Coleoptera; Tenebrionidae. The record is from RefSeq and is a predicted model, not a curated record. The transcript is spliced from 3 exons.
GAAAAAUUUAAAUUAUAGCAACCUGAGUGCAGUGUUUAUUAAAUUCGCAACGGAAAUAGCUUAUGAGAAUUCAAAUGUUGACGACUUGCCCAAUACAGAAAUUUCUACACGAAAACCAUUGGGCAGUUACCGAGUUCUUAGAAGCGCCCGAUUAUGUAGAGUAUCCCAAUCCUGAUUAAUUUUUUUAUACUGCAGACUUCACAUAAACUAAGCGAAUAGUUUUUAUAAGUGGUGUGUUACCAAGGGCACCUAUAGGUAGUACGCUUAUCCAAAAUGGUUGGUGGAAAGGCCUUGGGGUUUGGAAAACGUUAAGAGAUUGGAAUCCUCCACCGAAAAGGUUUUCCAGUGCGGUACUUUGUUGAGAGAGCGGGUUCGUCCUUUUUAAGAAUGCGGAAAUCUUAAAGACCUCAAGCGCCCUGGUUCCUCUUGCAUCACCUCAGCAGCCGACGACCAAAGUUCAAAUUGAAUAGCAAAAGAGACACCUUACAGUCCCUGAAAUAACCGCAGAUUUUAUUUGGGGACGGCUAAGCAAAGUUUCCGUAAGUUCGUAGAAAGGCGCUUACAUCUAGCCAAUUUACACGGUCGGUGUGCUGUACGGUAGAGGGGGAACUAACAAAACGCUUUUGGGUGGACUAGAGAGCAUGAAAAUAACUGAAAUAGUGUAUUGUGGGCUGACGAAUCUAAAUAUAAAGUCUUCGGGCAAAUAUUACGUAGAAUUUUUGUUCAAAGAAACAAAGACUAAAAAUGUUAUUGGCCUGUGUAGUUCCAACAAUGAGACACGAAGGUGGCUCGUGUUUAGGAUUUUUUCUUUUUUGCCGGCCAAGGAGAUUUGGUUAUAAUUGCUGGAAUUACUCACAAAAAAAAGUCAUCUUGGGAAGCAAGACAGUGCCAUCGAGAGUGCCUUAACCGAUAAGAGUUUUUACCAUCAUGCAGGUCAAUUAUCCAAACGUUACUAGCUUGCAAAGAAGAGGAAGGUGCCCUCCAAAUCAUGACGUGGCCUUCCCAAAGUUCGGAUUUGAAUCUGAUAGAAAAAUUAUAGGAUGAACUUGAUAGAAAGGUCAGGAAAGGAUGAUGUGGGACAUUAAAAGAAAACCUGCAAAGGGCUCUCCAAAGAGAGUGGGACAAUAUCCAGCAGGAAAGUUGUAAAAUCAGUGGCAAGAAUGCCGAGAAUAGUGCGUGCGCAUUUAUCAACUUUCCCCCGGUGUCCAUUCCUUCGUGAGCGAUGGUGAAAGUUAGGAAAGAAAGUUGGAUAAGUUACCACUGGGAGUUGAAAAA